Molecule: non-coding RNA, 95 nt
Organism: Pelobates cultripes (western spadefoot toad)
Lineage: Eukaryota; Metazoa; Chordata; Amphibia; Anura; Pelobatidae
Source: the annotation of a GenBank genome assembly
GUGUGUGUGUGUGUGUGUGUGUGUGUGUGUCAGUAUGUCUAUCAGUGUAUGUGCCUGACAAAGACAUACUGACACACACACAGGCACAUACACUG